CCACGAAGGUGGUUUUCCCAGCGCAAGCAAGGCUUAUCCAUUGCACUCCAGAUGUGCUGACCCCUGCAAUUUCCCCAAAUCUGGGAAACUCGAAGGCAUAAUUUGUGGUAGUGGGGGGACUGCAUUCGAGAUCUCCCCUG
RNAcentral lists this small nuclear RNA (140 nucleotides) under Erinaceus europaeus (western European hedgehog). Its description in RNAcentral is "U1 spliceosomal RNA (ENSEEUG00000018977.1)". It matches the Rfam family "U1 spliceosomal RNA", at positions 30 to 166 of the family's 166-position model. From Rfam's summary of the family: U1 is a small nuclear RNA (snRNA) component of the spliceosome (involved in pre-mRNA splicing). Lineage: Eukaryota; Metazoa; Chordata; Mammalia; Eulipotyphla; Erinaceidae. The record is from RNAcentral.